Molecule: ribosomal RNA, 462 nt
Filed under: uncultured bacterium
Lineage: Bacteria
Description: partial 16S ribosomal RNA
Rfam family: Bacterial small subunit ribosomal RNA
Source: RNAcentral
GACGAACGCUGGCGGCGUGCUUAACACAUGCAAGUCGAACGGAAAGGCCCUUCGGGGUACUCUAGUGGCGAACGGGUGAGUAACACGUGGGUGAUCUGCCCUGCACUUUGGGAUAAGCCUGGGAAACUGGGUCUAAUACCGAAUAGGACCACGCGCUUCAUGGUGUGUGGUGGAAAGCUUUUGCGGUGUGGGAUGGGCCCGCGGCCUAUCAGCUUGUUGGUGGGGUAAUGGCCUACCAAGGCGACGACGGGUAGCCGGCCUGAGAGGGUGACCGGCCACACUGGGACUGAGAUACGGCCCAGACUCCUACGGGAGGCAGCAGUGGGGAAUAUUGCACAAUGGGCGCAAGCCUGAUGCAGCGACGCCGCGUGAGGGAUGACGGCCUUCGGGUUGUAAACCUCUUUCAAUAGGGACGAAGCGCAAGUGACGGUACCUAUAGAAGAAGCACCGGCCAACUACGUG